AGCGGCCUCCGUGCCAUCCUCGUCAUCUCGGUAGUCGAAGGCUUUCCUUGUCCUCCGUGAUUGAUGAUGAUGCUAUUGUGUGCUCUGCUCACAGUGCUCGCUCGACUUGCUUGUGUGUUCUCCACGGCCAUUCUUUUGUAGAGCCUGGUAAGCUAGCUUCAGUAACUCUUGUUUCAGUUAAUUACCCGCUGUCUGCGCUUCAGUAACUCUGAGAUGAGACAGUCUGCUUUCACCUUCUAUUCAUUUCUACACUUGGUUCAUGUCGUUACUCUAUCUAUGCAUUGUGGGAGCACUUGUGCUCAAGAGGCACUGGGUAGUGGCUGGCGUACCAAGCUGGGAGGAUGAGAGAACCAAAGGAGGGGGAGGAAGUGGACUCGAAGGAGAUCAUACGCAAGGCACCUCCUCUUCGGUUGUGAGAGUGUCCAGGGGUCGUGGGUGCGGCUAAUGCCUAUAAUUUAUAAUUUCCUGAGCAAUGCACAUGGACGAUAUCUGGAGCGGUCAUGAGGAUGAGCUAAUUUUUGAAAAAAAGUUUGAAGAGGUGCCCAGUUUGUGCUUGCUACCGAAGGAGCUCCAUGUUGAAGAAGAUUGAAGACACUUGUAGAGCUACAGGGUUAACACCAGGGCACUGUAUCACGUGUAGAGCUUGUAGAGCUUGUAUAUGUUAGAGCUUAU
Molecule: non-coding RNA, 672 nt
Organism: Triticum urartu
Lineage: Eukaryota; Viridiplantae; Streptophyta; Magnoliopsida; Poales; Poaceae
Source: RefSeq, a predicted model, not a curated record